CUUUGCGUUUGUAGGGUCCAUUCUGUUUGUCCUUAGCCGUGCACUCUAGCUAGCUAGGAAGUUUGAUGUCAUCAAAUUUCACAUGAUGUAUAGCGACGUCCAAACAUCAAAACAUUGCUAGCAAAUUGUAAAAAAAAAAUGGAUAGUAACAAUAUAAUUCCAUUAAAUAACGACAGUAGACGCUGUAUUUUCUUUAAUACAGAUUCUGACGACUAUCGAUGUGUGGUGAUUCUCACAGUGAAGCGAGCCACAGGCACCUUCUCACUGAUAGGAUGCUUUUUCAUGCUGUUUGUAAUCUGGCUUCUCCGCCGGUAUCACUCCUUGGCCCAGGGUGAUACCCAUCCAGAGGGGAGUCUGUGUAACUUCCAGGCCUGGUGGCUCACUUAUUUUGACUGGAGUGCCUUGGCCUGGGUGUCCUGAAUUAUUCUGAACC
Long non-coding RNA from Oncorhynchus tshawytscha (Chinook salmon), 433 nucleotides. NCBI's taxonomy places the organism in Eukaryota, Metazoa, Chordata, Actinopteri, Salmoniformes, Salmonidae. The record is from Ensembl.